Molecule: ribosomal RNA, 975 nt
Filed under: Bacillus pumilus
Lineage: Bacteria; Bacillati; Bacillota; Bacilli; Caryophanales; Bacillaceae
Description: partial 16S ribosomal RNA
Rfam family: Bacterial small subunit ribosomal RNA
Source: RNAcentral
CUKCUGAUAGGARARAAMCAMRKSUCAAGARUAUYGYUGCMCYUUGACGKUWCUUACAGAGCCUGCUACUACGKGCAGCAGUCSGGUAUACGUAGGKGCAAGGSUUUKUCCGAAUWWUGGSGUAAAGGCUCGCAGGCGKUUCUUAGUCUGAUGUGAAGCCCCCGGCUCAACCGGGAGGGUCAUUGAAACUGGGAAACUUGAGUGCAGAAGAGGAGAGUGGAWUUCCACGUGAGCGUKAAAUGCGUAGAGAUGUGGAGGAACACCAGUGCGAAGGCGACUCUCUGGUCUGUAACUGACGCUGAGGAGCGAAAGCGUGGGGAGCGAACAGGAUUAGAUACCCUGGUAGUCCACGCCGUAAACGAUGAGUGCUAAGUGUUAGGGGGUUUCCGCCCCUUAGUGCUGCAGCUAACGCAUUAAGCACUCCGCCUGGGGAGUACGGUCGCAAGACUGAAACUCAAAGGAAUUGACGGGGGCCCGCACAAGCGGUGGAGCAUGUGGUUUAAUUCGAAGCAACGCGAAGAACCUUACCAGGUCUUGACAUCCUCUGACAACCCUAGAGAUAGGGCUUUCCCUUCGGGGACAGAGUGACAGGUGGUGCAWGRUWGUCGUCAGCUCGUGUCGUGAGAUGUUGGGUUAAGUCCCGCAACGAGCGCAACCCUUGAUYUUAGUUGCCAGCAUUCAGUUGGGCACUCUAAGGUGACUGCCGGUGACAAACCGGAGGAAGGUGGGGAUGACGUCAAAUCAUCAUGCCCCUUAUGACCUGGGCUACACACGUGCUACAAUGGACAGAACAAAGGGYUGCGAGACCGCAAGGUUUAGCCAAUCCCACAAAUCUGKUSUCAGUUCGGAUCGCAGUCUGCAACUCGACUGCGUGAAGCUGGAAUCGCUAGUAAUCGCGGAUCAGCWUKCUYUKYUGAAGAAUACGUUCCCGGGCCUUGUACACACCGCCCKUYYUUAUUUCUKUUACAGGAUGAU